CCUGCCCUUAACUCUGGGAUAAGCCUGGGAAACUGGGUCUAAUACCGGAUAUGACUCCUCAUCGCAUGGUGGGGGGUGGAAAGCUUUAUUGUGGUUUUGGAUGGACUCGCGGCCUAUCAGCUUGUUGGUGAGGUAAUGGCUCACCAAGGCGACGACGGGUAGCCGGCCUGAGAGGGUGACCGGCCACACUGGGACUGAGACACGGCCCAGACUCCUACGGGAGGCAGCAGUGGGGAAUAUUGCACAAUGGGCGAAAGCCUGAUGCAGCGACGCCGCGUGAGGGAUGACGGCCUUCGGGUUGUAAACCUCUUUCAGUAGGGAAGAAGCGAAAGUGACGGUACCUGCAGAAGAAGCGCCGGCUAACUACGUGCCAGCAGCCGCGGUAAUACGUAGGGCGCAAGCGUUAUCCGGAAUUAUUGGGCGUAAAGAGCUCGUAGGCGGUUUGUCGCGUCUGCCGUGAAAGUCCGGGGCUCAACUCCGGAUCUGCGGUGGGUACGGGCAGACUAGAGUGAUGUAGGGGAGACUGGAAUUCCUGGUGUAGCGGUGAAAUGCGCAGAUAUCAGGAGGAACACCGAUGGCGAAGGCAGGUCUCUGGGCAUUAACUGACGCUGAGGAGCGAAAGCAUGGGGAGCGAACAGGAUUAGAUACCCUGGUAGUCCAUGCCGUAAACGUUGGGCACUAGGUGUGGGGGACAUUCCACGUUUUCCGCGCCGUAGCUAACGCAUUAAGUGCCCCGCCUGGGGAGUACGGCCGCAAGGCUAAAACUCAAAGGAAUUGACGGGGGCCCGCACAAGCGGCGGAGCAUGCGGAUUAAUUCGAUGCAACGCGAAGAACCUUACCAAGGCUUGACAUGAACCGGAAAUACCUGGAAACAGGUGCCCCGCUUGCGGUCGGUUUACAGGUGGUGCAUGGUUGUCGUCAGCUCGUGUCGUGAGAUGUUGGGUUAAGUCCCGCAACGAGCGCAACCCUCGUUCUAUGUUGCCAGCGCGUUAUGGCGGGGACUCAUAGGAGACUGCCGGGGUCAACUCGGAGGAAGGUGGGGACGACGUCAAAUCAUCAUGCCCCUUAUGUCUUGGGCUUCACGCAUGCUACAAUGGCCGGUACAAAGGGUUGCGAUACUGUGAGGUGGAGCUAAUCCCAAAAAGCCGGUCUCAGUUCGGAUUGGGGUCUGCAACUCGACCCCAUGAAGUCGGAGUCGCUAGUAAUCGCAGAUCAGCAACGCUGCGGUGAAUACGUUCCCGGGCCUUGUACACACCGCCCGUCAAGUCACGAAAGUUGGUAACACCCGAAGCCGGU
RNAcentral lists this ribosomal RNA (1296 nucleotides) under Pseudarthrobacter psychrotolerans. RNAcentral describes it as "bacterial SSU rRNA". It matches the Rfam family "Bacterial small subunit ribosomal RNA", at positions 125 to 1431 of the family's 1533-position model. The record is from RNAcentral. Lineage: Bacteria; Bacillati; Actinomycetota; Actinomycetes; Micrococcales; Micrococcaceae.